Molecule: long non-coding RNA, 491 nt
Organism: Gasterosteus aculeatus aculeatus (three-spined stickleback)
Lineage: Eukaryota; Metazoa; Chordata; Actinopteri; Perciformes; Gasterosteidae
Source: Ensembl
CUCGGGAUUGCCUGUUUCUUUUUAAGGUGGCUCUGUGAAUUAAUUAGGUGAUCGGUUAGAAGCGGAGCCAGGAGAACAUCCGCCUCGGGGCGAGGAGUCGAGAAGCCGAGGAGACUUGAGAGGAAGGUUGCAACAGGGAGGACAUGUUCCUACUGGAAGGAAAGGAUCCGAAUAGAAGAAAAGGUUCCUACUAGAAGGAAAGAAACCUUAUUAGAAAGAAAGGAUCCUGCUGAAAAGAAAGGUCCCAUACUGGAAGGAAAGGAUCCGAAUAGAAGGAAAGGUUCCUACUGGAAGGAAAGGUCCCAACUAGAAGGAAAGGAACCUUAUUAGAAAGAAAGGAUCCUGCUGAAAAGAAAGGUCCCUACCACAAAGGAUCCAAAUAGAAGGAAAGGAUCCUACCAGAAGGAAAUAUGGAAGCAAAGGAGAAACGCACAUCUGGACUGAUGAGGCUCAUUGGGUGCCAUCUCAUUUAUUAUUACAUAAUAGUUUAG